Molecule: ribosomal RNA, 253 nt
Filed under: uncultured bacterium
Lineage: Bacteria
Description: partial 16S ribosomal RNA
Rfam family: Bacterial small subunit ribosomal RNA
Source: RNAcentral
UACAGAGGGUGCAAGCGUUGUUCGGAAUUAUUGGGCGUAAAGCGCGUGUAGGCGGCUUUGCAAGUCGGGCGUGAAAUCCCUCAGCUUAACUGAGGAAGUGCGCCCGAAACUGCCGAGCUUGAGUACCGGAGAGGGUGGCGGAAUUCCCCAAGUAGAGGUGAAAUUCGUAGAUAUGGGGAGGAACACCGGUGGCGAAGGCGGCCCCCUGGACGGAUACUGACGCUGAGACGCGAAAGCGUGGGGAGCAAACAGG